AGACGUGGUGCCGUGUCCGGAGCGACUGCUCCACUGCUCCGGUGGCCUCUUUCACACCACUGAGCUGGGUCCUGCACUCCUACUGAGGGAGGGAAUGGGCUGAGCUUUCCGUUUUGCAGAUUUUUGGGAUUCAGGAUCUGCUUGGGGUCACAUGCAGAUGACAGUGAUGUUUCCUCAUCCUCUUCUUGCUUUGCUUGUGGUUGGAAAUAUUUUUUUUUGUUUGUUUGUUUAUUUUUUCUUCAGAGGAAAGGCAAAGGACUAAACCUUUCAAGCUGCUCAUGAUCUCUUAUUGAUUUUAUGCAAUUAUAUUCUUAUUUAUAACAGCAUCAGGUCAGAAUUAGGCUUUUUCUACCAGUGUUUAUGAUGAUGCUGGCAAUUUUAUGAGUCCUUGUCUUCCAGACCAAAUGAGUGAUUAAAGUUUUGAGUGACCUUGUGGUAGCUACAGUUUUUUGCAUUUCACUCUGGAAAAUCUGAGCAAGAGCAGCCAUUGGCCUCUUUGCACUGGCGGGGGGGGGGGGGGUGGUGGUGGAUUUGUUUGUUGGUUGGUUGGGGGUUUUUUUGGCUGGGAUUACAGGGAUAAUACUUUAUCAGAAAUCCAUAGUUUUUUGUGAUUCUUAAAACAUUCCAGUGUAUUUUACAUUUAAAUAGAAAUGAGGCCGCCUUGAAACAAAUUUAUUCCGGUUGGCUUUGCACAUUGAUGAUUAAAGAACGUGGUUCAAUUUUUUUGUCUCAUUCUGAGCAAUGUCUCAUUAGAUUUGCUUUUUAUUGCUUUUCAUAUCCAUCAUGAUUUGUGUCAGCAGAAUGGUUAUAUAGAUGGACAGCUUAUUAUCAGCUUUAAGUGAAGAAACAGAACACAAGAAUGGUUGCUAAAAAAAGGGAAAGGUAAUUAACACUGGGUGCCAGAAUAUAAAUGAAGCCUGACAUUUUCUCUUUGUAAAUCCAGAUUAACCCCUGUCUUAACGUUACAGAGUGCAGGAGGGAAUGCUGUGCGUCUGCCCACGUCUCUGCAUCUCCCCGGGUGCUGCGUGUCCUGGCACAGCGCGGCACAGCGCGGCGAUGCCUGGUGUGGCUUCAGCUGCUGGCGUGGUGGGAUCUGAUAAAGACGCAGAAACUGCUGCAGAGCUCCUACACCCACAUCUGAGCUGCUUAACCUGCGCUGCAGUUAGCCCACGGUGAGAGCUUUUGAAGGGAAACCCAGAUUAUGAUGGAAAAGUUCAAAGAAUAACACCACAAAAGGAGCUGCCACGGGAAGGUGUUGGUCCUGCUGCCCCAGGACUGCACAGGGAGGGCUUUGAGGGGCACUUCAGUCCUUGGGGGGCUCUCAAGCUGCCGUGCAUGUCAGAUGCCCAACUUGCCCAGAAACACCUACUGGCAUCUGUAAGUUGCUGAAUAUUUUGAAAACGUGGUUGUGAAUGUUCAGUGCCCCCUCUCCGCCUGUUCCUCCUGCCAGUACAGAAAAGCUUAAACUUUUGUCCACGUGUGGAAGCUGCUCUGCCUAACUUCUUUCCGUGCAGUGAGCCCGGGGCUGCUGAUGCCCACUUGGAGAUGUGUGCUUCAAACAGCUUCGGGGAGACCGGAGCGUACCACGGAUCCUGUUUUGCAGCUGUGAACUCUGGGUUGGAGACAUCACCCAGCUUGCCUGGGGCAGGCAGCUGUGCCAGCUGGGAUGACAGCCCCGGUCACCCACCGCCCAGCAGAUGUUCUGCUGGCACCCGGCUGUCCUCUCGGCGAGGAGCAGUUACGGGUCCUGCCGCUAAAGCUGCAGUGUGGAUCCUAAUGAAGUAGCGCUCGCUUGAGCCUCGAGCAGUACAGAGACCUGCUGCUGCUGGACCGUUGUGAGGUUGAAAAUGCCCUUAACACCUCUGAAAAGCAACCAGUAGCACCACUGAUGAUUGUCUGAUAACUGAGCAACUAAUGUGUGUCACCACUGUAUAGUGUUUCUUUUGCUAUAAUAUGGGGCUUUUAAGGAAAAAAUGAAACCUGCCAAGCAUCAUUACAUGAUAAGCCUACCAAGCAAGCAACUAUUCAGAUUUCAGUGGCCUUGACUGAAGAACCUGGUAGAGUUCAGACAACUGGAAAAUGCAAGCUUCUGGCCAGACUCCAGAUAAUUUACCAGUACAUUAGAGAUAAUUUUUUGCUGGCUUCAUGUAUACCUGGUGAUUCCUGUUCAACUAUGGAAUUUUUUCCUGUUCUCGUAUAGAUCCUCGUUAUUUGAGGUGACAUAUUAGGUACCAACCUACAGUUUGUUGCUCCUACUCCUUCUGAUCAUAUACUUCUCAUUGAAAUGGAAGUGAAAACAAGAAAACCUUGGGAGAAAUCUGAGUGGGAAUCAUGGGGAGUGUAUUAGCAUUUGGUGAGCUGGGCACAAGAAUCACUCAGGAAAUUAAAAGGAGGAUGAUAUUUUGAGGUGAUAAAACAUUAAAAUACGAAACUUGCAUUUGAGUCAGAUCCAGCCUCAAUUUUUCCUUUUUAAGCUGUAGCUUAUGAAAAGUUGAGCCCAUGCCAGCAACAAAUGAAGUCUUUGGGCUAUUGCAAAAGGGAGAGGGGAGAAUGAAUUAAAUGGUGUUAGUGCUGGACUUCUUGGUGAAGUCCUGAUGAAAUGAAAUGAGAAAUGCAGAAACAGGUCAAAGGACAGAGAAGGUGGCCAUGUAGUUGAAACAAAAAGGCAGGAAAGCCUACUUACAUGACGUGUUAAUUAAGGCAAUGUAGUUGUAGCCAUCCCUGUUGGUGAGGGUCACCGGGCAAGGGAGGAGGCAGUGGAAUGGCUAUUAUUGCCUCUUUGAUAAUGAAUUCGGUUUGGCCAGCUCCUACUGACACUCACAAACAAGAUGGACAGCGACAACUCUUCAAAAGAGUCAAAUCCUUAAUGGUGCAGCUUCAGCUUCAGUGGUUCUCCUGCUGCUCCAUCAGCUGGAGACACAUGGUGAUCUCGAGAUACCCAGCACAGAUUCAACCUGGUUGGUGUCCGUAUUCGAUUGGAAGGUCUUUAAUUUACAAAAAAAAUAGCAAUACAAAUCCUUCCCCAUCCUCCAGCUUCAUGCGAUUUUUCAGUCCAACUCAAAGCUCCUUUGAAGGGUGGCCAGAGAGGUUGGGGAAGGUCUGUGCCCUGGUGGGAUGGAGGCUUGUAAAAAAGUUUCUGCAUUUCUCUGGAAAUAACAGAAAAGAAGAUGCAGGCAUGAAAUGGGGGAGGACGUGCUGUACAAAUGGCUUCUGGGGAUGGCUUAGGACGAGGACCGUCCCACGGCUGGUGUGAGGGCUGCCAGCUACAGCGCCGGGGCCAGGGGCGUUCGCCGCUGCGCUGGAUUUUGGCCAAAACCGCUCACUAUCCUCUAAAGGUGAUGGCUGAGUGUCGGCACGUGGACCCUGCGACCCUCCGCAGGCAGCGCGGGGCAGCGGGUGCCGGAGCAGGCGGCGGUGCGGCCGCGCGCGGCGGGACCCAAGGGGGAGCGGAUCCUGCGUGGGCUGCCCGCGGCGCUGGCUGCGCCUGGGCUGGUACCUGCACAGCCCGAGCGCGGAGCGAUGCGGCGGGGAACGAACAUCGUUUCCCUCCUCUUGUAUGAAGUCUCAUUUAUUCAUUGGUAAAGUUAUAAACCUUUUGCUUUGUUGCUUUUUUGCUUGUUUUUUUUAAAAUUAUUUUUAAAGUAGACAUAUGUAGCUCUGCUAUGGCCUACUGGAAAUAGAUGUAAAGAGAUUAACAAAGCAUGCUGUAAAGGCAGGAAUAAAUAAAAUAUCCCAAAUGCAAUGUAA
Long non-coding RNA from Aquila chrysaetos chrysaetos, 3747 nucleotides. RefSeq lists it as uncharacterized. The transcript is spliced from 2 exons. The record is from RefSeq and is a predicted model, not a curated record. Lineage: Eukaryota; Metazoa; Chordata; Aves; Accipitriformes; Accipitridae.